GGAGCAGUGCGAGGCCGAAUGGUUACGCUGUCCGCUUUGUAAGCGGAUGAUUAUGGGUUCGAUUCCCAUCUGCUCCA
This 77-nucleotide transfer RNA is filed under the name Culex quinquefasciatus (southern house mosquito). Its description in RNAcentral is "tRNA-Thr". It matches the Rfam family "tRNA". From Rfam's summary of the family: Transfer RNA (tRNA) molecules are approximately 80 nucleotides in length. Their secondary structure includes four short double-helical elements and three loops (D, anti-codon, and T loops). Further hydrogen bonds mediate the characteristic L-shaped molecular structure. tRNAs have two regions of fundamental functional importance: the anti-codon, which is responsible for specific mRNA codon recognition, and the 3' end, to which the tRNAs corresponding amino acid is attached (by aminoacyl-tRNA synthetases). tRNAs cope with the degeneracy of the genetic code in two manners: having more than one tRNA (with a specific anti-codon) for a particular amino acid; and 'wobble' base-pairing, i.e. permitting non-standard base-pairing at the 3rd anti-codon position. Lineage: Eukaryota; Metazoa; Arthropoda; Insecta; Diptera; Culicidae. The record is from RNAcentral.